This 771-nucleotide long non-coding RNA is filed under the name Pogona vitticeps (central bearded dragon). Its description in RNAcentral is "lncRNA (ENSPVIG00000023007.1)". Lineage: Eukaryota; Metazoa; Chordata; Lepidosauria; Squamata; Agamidae. The record is from RNAcentral.
AUGCCAGUGAGAGAGCCUGUUUGUGCACAGCUGCACAUACAUAAGGGAAUGGCGUGCAUGCCUGGAACCUGGCUUUCCCUUACUCUCCUCUUCUCCCGCCAGCUAUGCUUGUUUCUUCUCUUAUCUCCAGAAAUGGCCACCAGUGUGACAGACCAUGAAAAUGUAAGGAUCAUCACACAAGUCGUCCAACAAACAGAUCCGCAGGCUGUUGCUAGUGUGCUUGGGAAUACAUCCAUUGCAUCACAGCUCAAGCCAUCGCAGAGCCAAAGGCUGAAUACGCUGCCAAAGGCACUCGGGGUUGUGCAGAUUGUGUUGGGGGCUAUACAGAUAUGCUUUGGCAUUGCUCUGACAGAAGCACAAAAGAACUUUAAGAGCUUCACUGUGAAGAGUGCAGUCUACUUCUGGAUUGGGAUCUUGGUGAAAGCCUCUUUCUUUGCUGGCUUGUUAGUCAGUGUGGCUGCAGUGAUUGCAGUCAUCCUCCAUGUUAUUGAGAUUUUACAAGAAAAGAGAAAAGGAAAUCCAUGUGAUAAGCAUCCUGACAAAGAUUGUGUUGCUAGUAGUCAGUUGAUAAUAUACAGUCUGAACUCAGUCUUCAUCAUCCUUUCACUCCUUGAACUGUCUGCAGCUGUCACUGCAUUGGUGACUGGAUUUAAAGACAGAAGACAGCAACCUUAUCAAGAGAUGGUGAGGAAGGAACCCCUCCUUGUUGUCUUACACAUUUCUGCUGCUUUGAUAUGUCUUGUUCUAAAGCACUAUCCUUCCUUGUUAUAA